AGGUUGGCUCAGAAGCAGCCAUCCUUUAAAGAGUGCGUAACAGCUCACUAGUCGAGUGACCCUGCGCCGAAAAUGUACCGGGGCUAAGCCUGAUACCGAAACUGCGGAUUGUAGGAAACUAUAGUGGUAGGGGAGCGUUGUAUACGAGCAGAAGCCGUACCGUGAGGAGCGGUGGAUUGUAUAGAAGUGAGAAUGCCGGUGUGAGUAGCGAGAUGUAGGUGAGAAUCCUACACACCGAAAGCCCAAGGAUUCCAGGGGAAGGUUCGUCCGCCCUGGGUAAGUCGGGACCUAACGCGAGGCCGAAAGGCGUAGUGGAUGGAAAGCAGGCGAAAGAUUCCUGCACCCGUAUAUGGAGCGAAGGAGUGACGGAGACGGAUAGUGUGACCCUCUUAAUGGAUUGAGGGCGAAGCGAAGCGGCUGGUUACCAGGCAAAUCCGGUAACCAAAAGGCUAGAGCGUGACAGGUAAGCGAAAUCUUAGGAAAGUAGCGAAGCACAUGAUGACGGCUUCCAGGAAAAGCUUCUGGCAAUGCAUAUGCGGCCCGUACCAAAACCGACACAGGUGGGCAGGGAGAGAAUCCCGAGGUGAGCGAGAGAACUGUUGCCAAGGAACUCGGCAAAAUGACUCCGUAAGUUAGCGAGAAGGAGUGCUUAAGCAAUUAAGCCGCAGUGAAGAGGCCCAAGCGACUGUUUAACUAAAACACAGCUCUCUGCGAAGUCGCAAGACGAAGUAUAGGGGGUGACACCUGCCCGGUGCUGGAAGGUUAAGAGGAUCUGUUAAGAGCGAUCUGAAGCAGUGAUCCGAAGCCCCAGUGAACGGCGGCCGUAACUAUAACGGUCCUAAGGUAGCGAAAUUCCUUGUCAGGUAAGUUCUGACCCGCAUGAAAGGCGUAAUGAUUUGGGCACUGUCUCAACAGCCCGCCCGGCGAAAUUGUAGUACCGGUGAAGAUGCCGGUUACCCGCGACAAGACGGAAAGACCCCAUGGAGCUUUACUGUAGCCUAAUAUUGGGUUUCGAUGUUGCAUGCACAGGAUAGAUGGGACACUGGGAAACAAUCGCUUUGGCGGUUGCGGAGUGGCCGUUGGGAUACCAUCCUUGCGAUAUUGGAAUUCUAACCUGCGGCUCUGAAUCGAGUCGGGGGACAUUGUUAGGUGGGCAGUUUGACUGGGGCGGUCGCCUCCUAAAAAGUAACGGAGGCGUUCAAAGGUUCGCUCAGCUUGAACGGAAAUCAAGCAAAAGAGUGCAAACGCAGAAGCGAGCCUAACUGCGAGACUGACGGGUCGAGCAGUAACGAAAGUUGGAGUUAGUGAUCCGGUGGUAUGUGAGUGGAAAUGCCAUCGCUCAACGGAUAAAAGUUACCCUGGGGAUAACAGGCUGAUCUCCCCCAAGAGUCCACAUCGACGGGGAGGUUUGGCACCUCGAUGUCGGCUCAUCGCAUCCUGGGGCUGAAGUAGGUCCCAAG
RNAcentral lists this ribosomal RNA (1460 nucleotides) under human gut metagenome. RNAcentral describes it as "bacterial LSU rRNA". It matches the Rfam family "Bacterial large subunit ribosomal RNA", at positions 1098 to 2569 of the family's 2925-position model. The record is from RNAcentral.